CACGUAGGGGGCAAGCGUUGUCCGGAUUUAUUGGGCGUAAAGAGCUCGUAGGCGGCUCAGUAAGUCGGGUGUGAAACCUCCAGGCUCAACCUGGAGACGCCACCUGAUACUGCUGUGGCUAGAGUCCGGUAGGGGAGCGUGGAAUUCCUGGUGUAGCGGUGAAAUGCGCAGAUAUCAGGAGGAACACCAGCGGCGAAAGCGACUCACUGGACCGACACUGACGCUGAGGUGCGAAAGCUAGGGUAGCAAACGGG
Molecule: ribosomal RNA, 254 nt
Filed under: uncultured bacterium
Lineage: Bacteria
Description: partial 16S ribosomal RNA
Rfam family: Bacterial small subunit ribosomal RNA
Source: RNAcentral